CAUAUUCGAAUUUGACAAGAAGUUUUUCUCGGUCUGUACGGUGUAUAAGGAAUAUCAAAAUGGUGAUUUCUUGUUCCGAUUUCAACUGUACAAAGCGAUGGAAUAAGGAAAGUGACUUACCAUUUCACAGGUUUCCUCUAAAGCACCCAGAGCUGCUAAAGAAGUGGAUUACUUCCGUGAAGCGGAAAGGUUUUAAUCCUACGUCUUGCAGUUUUCUUUGCAGAAUCCAUUUCCGACAAGAUGAUUAUGUACUGAGCCCUGGAACGUGGAAGAAACGUCUCAAACCCGAAGCAGUACCAUCAGUUUUUGACUUUCCGGCAUAUUUGAUGCAACCAAAUAAACAGCCACGACGACAUGUUGUUAGGAUUUUGGGUGACAACGAUGCUUCUCCAUUUGAGGUAGCUAAUUAAUUUCCUUGCUAUGUGUCUGCUUUUUACUUUUGUGAAUUUAUUUCGUACGGACACAAAUGGGCUACAUAGGUCUAAGCAAUGUUGUAAUCCAGGUCCAUAUUUUUGUUUUUAGCGUUCUGUCAUGGAAUCCGUGCUCGAUUUGCCCCCUGCAGGAGCUACUGAUUUCGUGGAGAAUGUUCUCAAUGAGAAUUCUUCCUUGGAAAGCAUGUCCCAUUUAUCCAAUGCAGAAGCUACGAAUUGUGUCGAAAACGUUAUUAUGAUGUUUUCACACCCCCAAAGCUUUCUUAUAUUAUGUUUUCAUCAAGCCUUGAGUUAUUUCAUUCAUAUAUAACGAAAUUAUUUCUUUAUUUCAGAGUGCAGUUGGUUCUUCAGUAAUUGAUUGUGGUAUACAGUCGAAAGUAGAAAUGGAAGACAAGGUGACCGAAACUUGCAAUUUUUUCUCAGACAUUGUGCACGAAUUAAAACGUAAACUGAAGUGCGUCCGUGAAAAACUUCGAAGAAGAGAGAAGAAAGUGUUUUCCAUGGAUGACAUCAUAAGUUCAUUGAAGGAGAAGGGCCAUCAUCCUGAGAAGUUACAUAACUUCCUCCAUCAUCAGAAAGGAACACAAGUGGAAUCAGUGUGCAAUUUAGUGAACAAUUCUCUCUCGUCAAAGGGUAAUAGAUACACAACUAACGUGAAAAAUGUUUGCGAUGGAUGUGUACUUUUAUUACCAGCAGCAUAUGAAUACCUGCAAAAAUUAAUGCCUCUUCCCCAUAAAUCAUUGAUUUCCAAAUGGGUGGCAAGUGUUUUUAAGUCCAUUGAUUUGAACCCAAUUGUAAGGGACCAGUUCUGUGAUUCAUGUCUAAUUGUAGACAGUAUGGCAAUUAGGAAGCAAGUAGUUUGGGACCAAGGAACUAAGCUAUACACAGAUUUUUUAGACUUUGGUGGGGAAGUGCCUCAGUCAAAAGAAGUAAUAGAGGCAUCUGAGGCUCUGGUUUUCAUGCUUGUCUCUAUUAAUGGCAAAUUUAAAUGCCCGAUUGCAUAUUUCUUUAUCAAUGGUGCACAGCAAAUAAUCAGGCCACACUGAUAAAAUCUGCUUUAGAGAGGCUGCAUCGUUCUGGCAUUAGUGUUUGGUGUUACAUGUGAUGGCUGCAAGGUAAAUGUAAGCACUUUACAUUCACAUGGCUGUACUUUAAACUUUUACAACGGUGAUUUUAAAAGCCGCAUUCCUCAUCCUGUGGAAAAAUACAAUGUUUAUUGUAUCUUGGACAUGUCAUAUGAUUAAGUUAGCCAGAAAUGCUCUAGCAGAAGUAUCUGCUAUUGAGUCUCCAACUGCCAUUAUUAGAUGGCAUUUCAUUGAGCAAUUGAACAAGGUACAACAAGAAGGUAUGACAUUUGCCAACAAACUAUCAGGACAACAUGUAAGUUAUGUAAAUAGAAAAAUGAAUGUUUCAUUAGCUGCACAGACUAUGAGUUCUAGCGUGGCAGAUAGUAUAGAGUUUUUGAGGAGGGUUGGUGAUCGAAAUCUUAAAGGAAGUGAAGCAACAGUAGAAUUUUUUUAUUAUAUUGACAGGAUUUUUGAUAUUCUGAACUCCAGAAAUCCAUUAGGUAAAGGGUAUAAGAGUCCCCUGAGACUUGACAACAAAUCUUAUUGGUUUGGUAUUUUCAGAGACACUGAAAAUUAUAUCAAAAGCUUAAAAAUCAUUGGUGUUCCAUUGCUGCUCCAUGCAAGAAAUACUUUUGCUUUUGGGAUAAUUUUCAAUAUGCAAUCAGUCAGGCACAUAGCUCUGGCAAGUAUGCUUCGUGUUGAGUCUCCUCUGAAGUAUUUGCUAACAUAUAAACUGUCACAAGACCACAAAGGGCUUUUUCUUCCUGCAUUCUGUCCAGAGGUGAUUGAAACAACAAUCCAAAUGCAUACCAGUUCAAAUGUGCCAUGAGAAAGUUGGUCUUAGGUAACAGUGUCACUGCACUGAAUGGGAAUUGCUCAAAUUUUAAUGUGUGUUGUUUGCCACCUGUUUAUGAUUUUCAUGCAAGAAAGCAUGUAGUAGAAAGUGAUGAAAGUGCUGCAGAAAAUGAAGUAGAGAAGUGGUGUGCACUUCUUGAUGAUAACAUUAAGUUCUCAUUUUACAAGCAAAAAAUAUUCUAUUAUAUUGCAGGGUAUGUGUCAUUGCACCUGUCAAGGCAGAUCACAUACAAAGACUGUCUUCACAUACAGAAGCCACCAGUAGUUAAAUCUGCCUUAGAAUGUGAUGCUCUCUAUGCUUUUGCCAAUAUGGCCAAUAAAAAUGCAUUUGUAGAAUUUUGUUAACUGGGGAAAACUGGUUGAAACAAGUGACUGCGUGUACCCUGUUGUAGAAUAUUCAGAGAAACUGUUUCAGAUGUUUGUGAUUGCUGGGGAUAUGCGACAGAAGUAUAUUCAGGCCAAGAUUUUGCAUUGUGUUAAAAAUAAAAUUGUAGAUUAGCUAUCUGCUGCUCUUGGUCAUGAUUACCAUUAUAAAAUUGGGAUUGAGGAUUACAUCAGACUCAACUUGUUUGUAAGAUUGCAUCCCUGUACUCCAGCAUAUGCUUAAAAACAUAUGGAAAAAAAUGUCUUGGUGAGAAAAUUUUAAACAACAAAUCAAGUAUAAGGCAGAAGUUAAAUAAACUCAUAUCGUUUAAUCAUGUAUAGUGCUCAAAUUGGAAAAGAUUAUGUAAUGGGACAUUCCAUGCAGAUGGGUGUGACAUUUUUACAGAUUUCUUAAAACUAUGUUGUACAUAGAUUUGUGGUUGUGCAAUGAUGAACUUGAAAGGAUGAAUCACAUUGAAGUAAAAUUAACUCUUUACAUCUUGUGUAGAUAUUGUAACAAAAUUAGAAUUGUUUAUUAUAUAAGCUUAUUUUAAGAUGUUUGGUGUUACAAAUUAUGCACUUGCUUUAAAAACAGGUGAUUUGUGUGAAAUUAAUGAAAAAAUUAUGUACUGGGACUUAUUUGACAAAUGGCUUUCAGUGUGAGAAAAUAUUUACCUCAAUAACUACGUUAACUUGAAUUUAUCACUUUAAGAAAACAGUUUAUUCAUAGGAUGGGUGUGAUCUAAUGGAGUAUGCAGUGGUCCUAUGUUUCAAAAAGUAAUGUUUGUGGAUACUCUGCAACAUAAGAGCAAUAAAAUUGUUACUCUGUUAA
Long non-coding RNA from Schistocerca serialis cubense, 3548 nucleotides. RefSeq lists it as uncharacterized. The transcript is spliced from 2 exons. Lineage: Eukaryota; Metazoa; Arthropoda; Insecta; Orthoptera; Acrididae. The record is from RefSeq and is a predicted model, not a curated record.